AAUUUGACUCAACACGGGAAAACUUACCAGGUCCGGACAGCAGAAGGAUUGACAGAUUGAAAGCUCUUUCAUGAUUGGUUGGGUGGUGGUGCAUGGCCGUUCUUAGUUCGUACCGUGAGGUGUCUGGUUGAUUCCGUUAACGAACGAGACCUUUGUGGGGGAAAAUAGAGGGGCAGAGGACGAACAGAUGUAGAGUAGCGCAUGCCUUUGAGACCCAAGAAAUUGACUUGAGGGUGGAUGAGUGAACGUCUGGCUAAAUUAAAGUCUUCUAGUCUUGAUAAAAAAAAAAAGAAGCGAUUCUUUUCUCUACUUUCCGAGACAACACAAGAAAAUUGUGAGGAAGUUGGAGGCAAAAACAGGUCUGUGAUGCCCUUAGAUGUUCUGGGCUGCACGCGCGUUACAAUGAUAAAAGCAGAGAGUGAAUGGGAGGGAAGGAAGGAGAAAGGGGAGAGUAAAAUCUUUUUUUUCUUUGGACGGAACUCUAAUACACGUUGGAUGAGAAACAUUUGACAAAUCUUGGAAAUUUUAUCGUACUAUGAAUUGUUAAUUGAAACUAUUUGACAUGAAAAAGGAAUGCCUAGUAGGUGCAAGUCAUCAACUUGCGCCGAUUACGUCCCUGUCUCUUGUACACACCGCCCGUCGCUCCUACCGAUUGAAACCAACGGUGAAAAAUUCGGAGAGAGUGGAUUUAGAAAUAGAUUUACGAUUGAAGUUUUUUAAAUCUUUUGUUUUAGAGGAAGGAGAAGUCGUAACAAGGUACC
This 761-nucleotide ribosomal RNA is filed under the name uncultured eukaryote. RNAcentral's name for it is "partial 18S ribosomal RNA". It matches the Rfam family "Eukaryotic small subunit ribosomal RNA", at positions 1192 to 1803 of the family's 1831-position model. The record is from RNAcentral.